CCUUCACACUCACAAUAGCCACCAAUAAAAAACUCAACUUUCUCUUUCUCUCUCUCCUCCGAAGGUCUCAUUUUCACUCUCUCGCUCUCUGCAACAAAGAAAAACCACCCUCAAAAGUCACAAGCGAGACCUGCAACCUACACCAUUGAAUCCCCCUCAACCCCACGAACACAACCAUGCAACCAGAUUCGAGAACGGAUGAGUUUUGACUCACUAACUCGGAAAGUCUGACUCAGUGAGUUUUGGUUCAACGAUUUUCAGGCCGUUCACGGCUUAGAAAGCUCGAGGGGGGAAAGACUGCUCAGUUUUCCAGCAAAGGAACUGUGACCAUUUGGUCACUUUCAACUCAUUUUUCCGACCAACCUCGACUACGACUGGAUUCCUAAUAGGAGCUUGUGAGAAAGGCGAGUACAGCCGUACUCGUAGGCGCAUGGGCACGAGUGGAAAGCCCAGCAUGGUCGGCAUGUGCAGCGCAUGGCUGCCAGUGCAGCCACUUGUGGAGGCGCGUGGCGGCGCGUCCAGCCUCCGAUUGACCUUCUGUCUAUUUGUGUAGGUCCGUGAUGUCGAGUAGAUCGAUUUCAUGUAUUCAAGCCCUAUGUUUGAGCAAUCUACAGAGGUUUUAUUUAAGUUUCCGUGUAUGUGUUAUUAAACUAAGUUAAUAAGUAAUUUCACAUAUAGGGGAAACGUAUCCCGAGGACGUACGAGGUCAAGCAAGGCUAGGAGGCUUCAUUUCGACUACGUAUCUGUGAAUGGGCAAUUUAUUUUAUACCUAUACAUAUUGAUAGUUUCCCUAAAUGUGUAGUUACUUCACUUUUUCGCUUAUAUUGCCAAGUAUCCGUUAUUAUGAUAUUAAAUGUGAUAAAUGCUGUUAUAUGGUUGAGAUAUUAUUGUCAUGACAUUCAUACACAUUUGUACAUGUUCAUCUUCCUGCACCGGUGUUAGUACUCGCCCCAGGGUCAAGGCCAGUCCUUCACGUGUAUGUUCACAUCGCACCGUUCGCUCUCUU
Malus domestica (apple) is the source of this 1006-nucleotide non-coding RNA. The record is from RefSeq and is a predicted model, not a curated record. Lineage: Eukaryota; Viridiplantae; Streptophyta; Magnoliopsida; Rosales; Rosaceae.